RNAcentral lists this ribosomal RNA (253 nucleotides) under uncultured bacterium. RNAcentral describes it as "partial 16S ribosomal RNA". It matches the Rfam family "Bacterial small subunit ribosomal RNA", at positions 524 to 776 of the family's 1533-position model. The record is from RNAcentral.
UACGGGGGGGGCAAGCGUUGUUCGGAAUUACUGGGCGUAAAGGGCUCGUAGGUGGCCAAUUAAGUCAGACGUGAAAUCCCCAAGCUUAACUUGGGAACUGCGUCUGAUACUGAGUGGCUUGAAUUCGGGAGAGGGAUGCAGAAUUCCAGGUGUAGCGGUGAAAUGCGUAGAUAUCUGGAGGAACACCGGUGGCGAAGGCGGCGUUCUGGACUGCUACUGACACUGAGGAACGAAAGCCAGGGGAGCAAACGGG